UAUUGUGCACUGCAAUAUACAAUAAAACAGAUGAGGCCUCCAAUCAUUGUAGGUGGCCGUUUGUAUGGGAGAGGAUCAGCUUCUCAAUCUGGUGGGGUCGAAAGACCACUUCCUCCGGCAGCCAACACUGAACAAAUUGAACAGAUGGAAGAAAUAGCAACUAUAGCACAUGAUGUUCGAGUGCUCCAUCCAUCUAGAAGGAAUGGAGCCAAAUGGUUCAAAAACAACACUGAAGUAUCAACCAGAGUGAGAAAAAUCAUUGAAGGGUGCUUUAAGGGACCAUGGUACAGCUGGAAAAAAGUGCCACGGCAUUUUAAAGAAGCAUGGUAUUCAACGUUUAAGACAAUGUAUGAGUGGGAUGUCUCAAUCGAGCAUCUAGUGAAAGCCAACUUUGAUGCACUUGCUGCUACUCGCUUGAGAGGAAUGGUUAGCCUUGCAAAGUCCAAUGGAGUAAAGCCAGAUUGGAUUUUGUCAUCAGAUUGGUCAGUAAUGUUAGCUCACUGGAGGACACCAGAAGUCAAAGAAAAAGCCAAAAAGCUUGUUCUUCUCGGCUGUUUAGUCGUGAUGGUUUAGGUCCCCACCGACACAGAUCAGGUUCACGUUCAUAUGCCAAGGUUCAAGAUGUUCUGGAAGCAAAUAAUGAAGACUCUUCCUUCAUUGCUGUGAUGAAAAAAAACACACCAAAAAUCUGAUGGAACAUAUGUUGAUGAAAGAGCAAGAGUAAUUGCAGAACAAUAUGAUGAACAUGUGCAAGAACGCUUAGCACAGAUGGAGUCUGCCAAUGGUGAGGUUUUGACUGAUGCCCUUACUCUAGAGGAAAGAAAUGAAAUUUACAUUAAGGUUGCUGGAAUAUCAAAGCAAGGUCGUGUAUUUGGACUUGGAUCACUUCAAAGUGGAGUUUCUAUGUCUUUUAAUGGUUCGUCUGUUUUGCCACAAACUAUUGAAGAAGUGGGAACCUUAACUCGCCGAAUCGAGGAGCUUGAAACUGAUCUGCAAAAAAGCCAUGAUGAGAAUGCUCUUUUCCAGAAACACCUCGAAAACUGUGGAGAAACUUGUGGAGACUCUUUUUGGCCAGGAUGUCUUAACCACAACAACUCCAUCUUCUUCUACUCCAGCAUAAACUUCCGCUUCU
Eutrema salsugineum is the source of this 1132-nucleotide long non-coding RNA. RefSeq lists it as uncharacterized. Lineage: Eukaryota; Viridiplantae; Streptophyta; Magnoliopsida; Brassicales; Brassicaceae. The transcript has 6 exons. The record is from RefSeq and is a predicted model, not a curated record.